UACGUAGGGGGCAAGCGUUAUCCGGAUUUACUGGGUGUAAAGGGAGCGUAGACGGCACUGCAAGUCUGGAGUGAAAGCCCGAGGCCCAACCACGGGACUGCUCUGGAAACUGCGGGGCUGGAGUGCAGGAGGGGUAAGCGGAAUUCCUAGUGUAGCGGUGAAAUGCGUAGAUAUUAGGAGGAACACCGGUGGCGAAGGCGGCUUCCUGGUCUGCAACUGACACUGAGGCGCGAAAGCGUGGGGAGCAAACAGG
RNAcentral lists this ribosomal RNA (253 nucleotides) under uncultured Eubacteriales bacterium. Its description in RNAcentral is "uncultured Clostridiales bacterium partial 16S ribosomal RNA". It matches the Rfam family "Bacterial small subunit ribosomal RNA", at positions 524 to 776 of the family's 1533-position model. The record is from RNAcentral. Lineage: Bacteria; Bacillati; Bacillota; Clostridia; Eubacteriales.